RNAcentral lists this ribosomal RNA (460 nucleotides) under uncultured bacterium. RNAcentral's name for it is "partial 16S ribosomal RNA". It matches the Rfam family "Bacterial small subunit ribosomal RNA", at positions 338 to 795 of the family's 1533-position model. The record is from RNAcentral.
CCUACGGGUGGCAGCAGUGAGGAAUAUUGGUCAAUGGACGAGAGUCUGAACGAGCCAAGUAGCGUGAAGGAUGACUGCCCUAUGGGUUGUAAACUUCUUUUAUAUGGGAAUAAAACGUUCCACGUGUGGGAUUUUGUAUGUACCAUAUGAAUAAGGAUCGGCUAACUCCGUGCCAGCAGCCGCGGUAAUACGGAGGAUCCGAGCGUUAUCCGGAUUUAUUGGGUUUAAAGGGAGCGUAGGUGGAUUGUUAAGUCAGUUGUGAAAGUUUGCGGCUCAACCGUAGAAUUGCAGUUGAAACUGGCAGUCUUGAGUACAGUAGAGGUGGGCGGAAUUCGUGGUGUAGCGGUGAAAUGCUUAGAUAUCACGAAGAACUCCGAUUGCGAAGGCAGUUCACUGGACUGCAACUGACACUGAGGCUCGAAAGUGUGGGUAUCAAACAGGAUUAGAUACCCUUGUAGUC